GAUCUUGGUUCAGGAUGAACGCUGGCGGCGUGCUUAACACAUGCAAGUCGAACGGAGUUUUAACGGAAGUUUCGGAUGGAAGUUUAGAAACUUAGUGGCGGACGGGUGAGUAACGCGUGGGUAACCUGCCUCAUACAGGGGGAUAACAGUUAGAAAUGACUGCUAACACCGCAUAAUAUAGCGAAACCGCAUGAUUUUGCUAUCAAAUAUUUAUAGGUAUGAGAUGGGCCCGCGUCUGAUUAGCUAGUUGGUGGGGUAAAAGCCUACCAAGGCGACGAUCAGUAGCCGGCUUGAGAGAGUGACCGGCCACAUUGGGACUGAGACACGGCCCAAACUCCUACGGGAGGCAGCAGUGGGGAAUAUUGGACAAUGGGGGAAACCCUGAUCCAGCCGACGCCGCGUGAGUGAAGAAGUAUUUCGGUAUGUAAAGCUCUAUCAGCAGGGAAGAUAAUGACAGUACCUGACUAAGAAGCCCCGGCUAACUACGUGCCAGCCGCCGC
Molecule: ribosomal RNA, 500 nt
Filed under: uncultured bacterium
Lineage: Bacteria
Description: bacterial SSU rRNA
Rfam family: Bacterial small subunit ribosomal RNA
Source: RNAcentral